Molecule: transfer RNA, 65 nt
Filed under: Dipodomys ordii (Ord's kangaroo rat)
Lineage: Eukaryota; Metazoa; Chordata; Mammalia; Rodentia; Heteromyidae
Rfam family: tRNA
About the family: Transfer RNA (tRNA) molecules are approximately 80 nucleotides in length.
Source: Rfam by way of RNAcentral
GGUGGCUUAGUGGUAGAGUGCCUGCUUUGCAUGCAUGAGACCCUGGGUUCGAUUCCUCAGCACCA